UACGGGGGGGGCAAGCGUUGUUCGGAAUUACUGGGCGUAAAGGGCUCGUAGGCGGCCAACUAAGUCGGAUGUGAAAUCCCCAGGCUUAACCUGGGAACUGCAUCCGAUACUGGAUGGCUUGAAUCCGGGAGAGGGAUGCAGAAUUCCAGGUGUAGCGGUGAAAUGCGUAGAUAUCAAGAGGAACACCUGAGGUGAAGACGGGUUGCUGGGCUGACACUGACGCUGAGGCGCGAAAGCCAGGGGAGCAAACGGG
RNAcentral lists this ribosomal RNA (253 nucleotides) under uncultured bacterium. RNAcentral's name for it is "partial 16S ribosomal RNA". It matches the Rfam family "Bacterial small subunit ribosomal RNA", at positions 524 to 776 of the family's 1533-position model. The record is from RNAcentral.